Molecule: long non-coding RNA, 986 nt
Filed under: Gossypium barbadense (sea-island cotton)
Lineage: Eukaryota; Viridiplantae; Streptophyta; Magnoliopsida; Malvales; Malvaceae
Description: long non-coding RNA (GBAR_LNC008679)
Source: RNAcentral
GAUUGCUGACGUGGCAUGUUGGUGGAGCCAAACUCUUUGGCUCCACCAACUUUUACAGUAGAUUUUAAGUCAUUUUUGUGUUUAAUUAAAAAGUGAGUCAUUUUAAUAAUUAAUUAAAGUUUUAGGUUAUUUUUAUAAAAAAAGUGGCCAUAAUGAUUUGCUUUGGGAAUUAUAUAGUUAAAUGCGUUAUUGAUGGCAAAUGAACUAUGAGGUGCUCUACAACAGCCUAAGAAGUGCUUAGACUGUUUAGAGGUGAGGACAAAACCUUGAGAGUGUAUUAGUUCUUUAGCAAUGCCCAAAGAAGAUUGUUGAGGUUUCAACUUCUUCGAAAGAAGCCUGUUAAGUGCCAUCAACCCAAAAUUGGUAAAUUCUUCAACAUGUCCGAUAUUGUCUCUAGUUAAAAUUGUCUCUUGACUCUACCGCCCCUAAAGUGAUGAUAGAUUCACAAAAUAAGAGUGCUUGAAUAAAUGAAUUAUCAAACAAAUUAAAAAGUUUACAAUUAAUGAGAUUUAAACCCAUGCCUAAAAUGAAACACGAGUCCAAGUAUACCACCACUUGGGCUAGUCCAAUAUUAUCUUUGGUGAGAACUUUGUCUCCAAACUCUAUCACACUUGAAGAGACCACAAGGAGUCAGCAUGCCUUAUCGUGUACCUGAAUAGACGAGGUUAUGACAAACUAUAGAGCUUAGAGAUGAGAAGGCUCGAAUCCCUAACCUAUAUAGUUUAUAGGUCAAUGGGAGAGCAUGGAAUUAAUCCAAGUGGUUUUAUACGUGUACUCAUACCUCAUUUAAGGUACGUGUUCAAACACCAUCAACUGCAAAUUUUUAUGUUCCUUUGACAAUUCACUUAUUCAAGUAUCCAACAAGACAACGUGUUUAGUAGUCUACUAACUCUAAACAAAUAAUACUUCACAAUUUUUUCUAAAAAUAUUUUAAAAAAUCCCAGAACUGAUUUGUAGGAUGUUUCACAUCAAUAAAAACAUAGAAU